This 501-nucleotide ribosomal RNA is filed under the name uncultured bacterium. RNAcentral's name for it is "partial 16S ribosomal RNA". It matches the Rfam family "Bacterial small subunit ribosomal RNA", at positions 30 to 523 of the family's 1533-position model. The record is from RNAcentral.
AUUGAACGCUGGCGGCAGGCUUAACACAUGCAAGUCGAGCGGGGGAAGGUAGCUUGCUACCGGACCUAGCGGCGGACGGGUGAGUAAUGCUUAGGAAUCUGCCUAUUAGUGGGGGACAACAUCUCGAAAGGGAUGCUAAUACCGCAUACGUCCUACGGGAGAAAGCAGGGGAUCUUCGGACCUUGCGCUAAUAGAUGAGCCUAAGUCGGAUUAGCUAGUUGGUGGGGUAAAGGCCUACCAAGGCGACGAUCUGUAGCGGGUCUGAGAGGAUGAUCCGCCACACUGGGACUGGGACACGGCCCAGACUCCUACGGGAGGCAGCAGUGGGGAAUAUUGGACAACGGGGGGAACCCUGAUCCAGCCAUGCCGCGUGUGUGAAGAAGGCCUUAUGGUUGUAAAGCACUUUAAGCGAGGAGGAGGCUACUCUAGUUAAUACCUAGGGAUAGUGGACGUUACUCGCAGAAUAAGCACCGGCUAACUCUGUGCCAGCCGCCGCCGUAA